CAAUGUGACAUUUGUAAGUGAUUUAUUGAUUGCUUAGUAACUUGUAAUGCCUGGUAACAGUAACAACAAACACAAAUAAUUAAUUUACCUCACCCCCCACCCAUAACACACACUUUAUUGGACUAUUCCUCCCUGGUCACCGUGCGCUUUGAACGACUGCAUCAAUUGAAAUUAAGCCACAGCAUGAGAAGCUACGUAGAAGUGGUGUUAUAGAUAUUUCUGAUUGAAAAAGUCAACUUUUUAACAAAACACAAUGACUGCCAGAUACGACAGAGCUCACAGUCUUCUCGCCCGAUCGCCUCCUCUUCCCAAGUGGAAGUAUUUGCUGGACCAAUACAAAUAAACGGUGGCGUUUUAUUUUCAGGAAAUAAACAUAUGUCAAUUAUUUAAUAUGGAUGGUUGGUUUUGUGUUUGAUCUUGUUAAGGUUGGAAUUCGAGGAAAAGAUAUUGUCGUUCUUGGCGUUGUGAAGAAAUCUGUUGCCAAGCUGCAAGAGGAAAGGACUGUUCGGAAAAUAUGUGCUCUUGAUGAGCAUGUCUGUAUGGCGUUUGCAGCGCUACACUCAGAGCAAUGGAUGCAGGCCAUUUGGAAUCUCUGCCUUGAUUGUGGGCUUUGACUACAAUGGCCCUCCAAGGUUAUAUCAAACGGAUCCUUCUGGCACAUGGAUGAUUCUGGAAUCCAAGGAAAUAGAAACACUGGUUGCAGAAAUCGAGAAGUAAAAAGGAAGAAGCCGAGAAGAAGCAGCAGAAGAAAACCACCUUUUUUUUUUUUUUUUUUUAAGGACAAAAUACUAAGUCCAAAAUGUACUUUGUUUACACGAGCUACAACAGGUCAAAAACUUUAAUGCUAGCCUCUUGAUUGGUGUUGUGUGUUUUUUUUUCCAUUAAACUUUUGUUACAGUUGAAUUAAAGCAUUUUUAACCCUAAAAAGUGCUGUUCAGAUUUGUAAAGGCAUUAAAAAAAAAACUAAAUAAAGACUCAUCUGAUGUA
Long non-coding RNA from Acipenser ruthenus (sterlet), 987 nucleotides. RefSeq lists it as uncharacterized. Lineage: Eukaryota; Metazoa; Chordata; Actinopteri; Acipenseriformes; Acipenseridae. The transcript has 3 exons. The record is from RefSeq and is a predicted model, not a curated record.